CUAACACAUGCAAGUCCGAGCGGAAACGAUGGUAGCUUGCUACCAGGCGUCGAGCGGCGGACGGGUGAGUAACGCGUGAGAAUCUGCCCAUUUGUGGGGGAUAACUCGGGGAAACUCGAGCUAAUACCGCAUAAUCCCUACGGGGGAAAGCAGGGGACCUUCGGGCCUUGUGCAGAUGGAUGAGCUCGCGUCGGAUUAGCUUGUUGGUGAGGUAAAGGCUCACCAAGGCGACGAUCCGUAGCUGGUCUGAGAGGAUGAUCAGCCACACCGGGACUGAGACACGGCCCGGACUCCUACGGGAGGCAGCAGUGGGGAAUCUUGGACAAUGGGGGCAACCCUGAUCCAGCCAUGCCGCGUGUGUGAAGAAGGCCUUCGGGUUGUAAAGCACUUUCAGUAGGGAGGAAGGCUUACCGCUAAUAACGGUGAGUACUUGACGUUACCUACAGAAGAAGCACCGGCUAAUUUCGUGCCAGCAGCCGCGGUAAUACGAAAGGUGCGAGCGUUAAUCGGAAUUACUGGGCGUAAAGCGCGCGUAGGCGGUUUGUUAAGUCAGAUGUGAAAGCCCCGGGCUCAACCUGGGAAUUGCAUUUGAAACUGGCAGGCUAGAGUGCAGUAGAGGGAGGUGGAAUUUCCGGUGUAGCGGUGAAAUGCGUAGAGAUCGGAAGGAACACCAGUGGCGAAGGCGGCCUCCUGGACUGACACUGACGCUGAGGU
This 714-nucleotide ribosomal RNA is filed under the name Alcanivorax sp. P653. Its description in RNAcentral is "bacterial SSU rRNA". It matches the Rfam family "Bacterial small subunit ribosomal RNA", at positions 48 to 752 of the family's 1533-position model. The record is from RNAcentral. Lineage: Bacteria; Pseudomonadati; Pseudomonadota; Gammaproteobacteria; Oceanospirillales; Alcanivoracaceae.